RNAcentral lists this ribosomal RNA (477 nucleotides) under uncultured bacterium. RNAcentral's name for it is "partial 16S ribosomal RNA". It matches the Rfam family "Bacterial small subunit ribosomal RNA", at positions 28 to 507 of the family's 1533-position model. The record is from RNAcentral.
GAUGAACGCUGGCGGCGUGCCUAACACACGCAAGUCGAACGAAGCACCUUACCUGAUUCUUCGGAUGAAAGUUUGGUGACUGAGUGGCGGACGGGUGAGUAACGCGUGGGUAACCUGCCCUGUACAGGGGGAUAACAGCUGGAAACGGCUGCUAAUACCGCAUAAGCGCACGAGGAGACAUCUCCUUGUGUGAAAAACUCCGGUGGUACAGGAUGGGCCCGCGUCUGAUUAGCUGGUUGGCAGGGUAACGGCCUACCAAGGCAACGAUCAGUAGCCGGUCUGAGAGGAUGAACGGCCACAUUGGAACUGAGACACGGUCCAAACUCCUACGGGAGGCAGCAGUGGGGAAUAUUGCACAAUGGGGGAAACCCUGAUGCAGCAACGCCGCGUGAGUGAAGAAGUAUUUCGGUAUGUAAAGCUCUAUCAGCAGGGAAGAUAAUGACGGUACCUGACUAAGAAGCGCCGGCUAAAUACGUG